This 760-nucleotide ribosomal RNA is filed under the name uncultured bacterium. RNAcentral's name for it is "bacterial SSU rRNA". It matches the Rfam family "Bacterial small subunit ribosomal RNA", at positions 55 to 794 of the family's 1533-position model. The record is from RNAcentral.
AUGCAAGUCGAACGCGAAAGGGACUUCGGUCCUGAGUAAAGUGGCGCACGGGUGAGUAACGCGUAGAUAACCUGUCUUCAUGUCUGGAAUAAUACACCGAAAGGGGUACUAAUACCGGAUAUUCUUGCUUUAUAUAAGUUUUGCAAGCAAAGGUGGCCUCUGAUUCAAGCUACUGCAUGUAGAGGGGUCUGCGUACCAUUAGCUAGUAGGUAGGGUAAUGGCCUACCUAGGCAACGAUGGUUAGCGGGUCUGAGAGGAUGAUCCGCCACACUGGCACUGGAACACGGGCCAGACUCCUACGGGAGGCAGCAGUGAGGAAUAUUGCGCAAUGGGGGCAACCCUGACGCAGCGACGCCGCGUGAGUGAGGAAGGCCUUCGGGUCGUAAAGCUCUGUCAAGAGGAAGGAAAUGCAUAGCGGUUAAUACCCGCUAUGUUUGACGGUACCUCUAAAGGAAGCACCGGCUAACUCCGUGCCAGCAGCCGCGGUAAUACGGAGGGUGCAAGCGUUGUUCGGAAUCACUGGGCGUAAAGGGCGCGCAGGCGGUUUGGUAAGUCAGAUGUGAAAGCCCACGGCUUAACCGUGGAAGUGCAUUUGAUACUGCUAGACUUGAGUACCAGAGGGGAAAGUGGAAUUCCCGGUGUAGAGGUGAAAUUCGUAGAUAUCGGGAGGAAUACCGGUGGCGAAGGCGACUUUCUGGCUGAGUACUGACGCUGAGGCGCGAAAGCGUGGGGAGCAAACAGGAUUAGAUACCCUGGUAGU